GACCUGGCUGGGUGGUCCGCUUAACGGCGUGUACUGUUCGGCUGGGCCUUACCUCUUGGUGAGCCAGUGUGCCCUUUAUUGGUGUGCAUUGGGGAACCAGGACUUUUACUUUGAAAAAAUUAGAGUGUUCAAAGCAGGCCUUUGCUCGAAUAUGUUAGCAUGGAAUAAUAAAACAGGACG
RNAcentral lists this ribosomal RNA (180 nucleotides) under uncultured Glomeromycotina. RNAcentral's name for it is "partial small subunit ribosomal RNA". The record is from RNAcentral. Lineage: Eukaryota; Fungi; Glomeromycota.